Molecule: long non-coding RNA, 2742 nt
Organism: Dromaius novaehollandiae (emu)
Lineage: Eukaryota; Metazoa; Chordata; Aves; Casuariiformes; Dromaiidae
Exons: 2
Source: RefSeq, a predicted model, not a curated record
UGCAGAAAUGCCAGCGGCAGAUCUGGUGUCUUCUUCAUUGGACCCAUACGUGUCACUUAUUAACGAGGUUUAAAACACAGCUUAAUCUUUACAUCCCUCAGUAAGAGAUCUUCCUGCUCUGCGUGCUCGUGUCCUCGAUGACAGGGCUGUUUCUCAAAGAUCAAAGGAUUCUAAGGGUGUUUUGUGUGUGCACUCAGCGAAACAGUUCACAUUCUGAUCCUAUAAGUUUAAAGUGGGAGGAAAGACCAAUUCAAGGGGAAAUCGGGAUCUCUUCCAAAUAAUGGUCUCUGGAAUCCCCUGCUUGAAAAUAAACUCAGCAGCUCGGAGUGGUUUGGCUGGUGCAGCUGUAAGAAGCUGCUCGCCAGGACUCAGAGUUGAAGAGAACCACUGAAACCUGCAGUUACUAGUGAGGAUAAUUUGGGUGGUUUUUCCUGGUCUUGUAUUGUGGCGGCAGGUGAGGAGAGUAAAAAUGUAGAUGGAAGGGGCGUUGCGCGACGGAGGUCGGGUUUCUUGGCCUCUUCCCCGGUGAGGCUGCAGCCCUAGUACAGAGGAUCCCAGCUGGAAGGAUGAGGCCAAAAAGGGAAGGCGUUGUGGUGUAAAUACCAGGGCAAUUAGCUGAUAAGUAAAUGUUUGGUUUUACUUCCAGCUUUUAUAGCGAGAGCUCAAAGCUGCUUAGAAGGUUUUCCUCGCAGGAAAGCGGUGACAACUUACUUAGAGAUGUCUGUCCUUGUCUCUUGUCCCUCCCCGCUGCUUGUGUUCUUUCCUUGUUCAUUUUUAGUGCACUGGUAUUUAUAGCUGUUGCAAAACCAAGACCAGAGCAGUGAAAUAUUGAGCCAGCAAUUAGCAUAUACAGUAUCUUAAAAAAAAAAAAAAAACCCAGCCGAAUGGAAGUGUUUCAGAGAACAGCUGCAGGUGAGAUGCCUUUAUAGGAGAAGCAGAGGGAUAAAAUGCUCCAUUCCACAGGAAAGUGUGAUGCUACCUGGAGGAUGCUUCUCCUUCACGAUUAGCAUCGUCAUUUAGGUGACGUUUUCCCACUUGAAGACUUUCCACUGGAAAAUCUACAGGGUAACGAGUGGCUGCUGGGGUUAGACGCGACGUCCGCGCUGGUGGAGCGGGACUCGAACCUGAACCUGCGUUUACACGCGCCGUUUGAUUGUGGACGUGGUGGGUUGGCGGUGCCAGCUUGCGCUCCCCCCCCCCAGGGCUGGGUUCGGGGGACGAGCAGGGGGCUGUUUCCGUUAAGCGGCGUGGACGUGGUCACGCUGCUGCAGGACAAGAGUGUAGCCACGUAGCUGUGGCUUGUGCUGUCCUCCCUGCCCACAGGGCCAGAAAAUGACUGGUGCGUGGUUUUAUUUCCUAGUACAGAUGCUGGUUUAGAUGCUGUAGUGUGAAAACCAGCUUGGUUGCAGCCAAGGAGUGGAAAGGUGUCUGCCGUAGCCAGGAGGGUGUGUUGAGAAUAACCUGGUUUUUAACGUGAUGUUCAGCUUUCAGAAGCUCCCAUCAGCUAAGCGGGGUCAUGGCAUGCUACAAUCCCGUAGCAGCCGCUCCUCAGCGACGUCCUCUUCCCCCUCGGUGCUGAAUACAAGGGUGCUGUUGCCCAAAUAGCUCCUGAUGCCGGGCAUUUUGACUGUUUCCCUGGAAGAAACAAGCCCUGGAAAGGUGGUUUAGAGCAGUUUAUCUUCCAUCGCUUGGUAGAGCUGGAAGCAGAUCCCGGAGCCGCUGUUUGCCCCGUUUUCUUUCCAGCCACGCGUCCCAGCAGCCGGUAGCUCGCUGCGCGUUUCACCCUUAAGGUGCUUUAUUCGACCCGUGGUUCGUAGAUCUGUUAUUUACCCCCAACCCUUCAAGAAGGUUUAAAACAUACACCCUGUGCAAUGGUUAAAAAUCAAGACUAAAGAGUUUGUGCUUGUUAAAAAGUUUUUAUUCGAUAUUUGCGUAACUAUGUGCUUCCAGUUGGUACUCCUGCAGCGUAUUAAUUUGCAGUUCCAUGCCAGGUUCAUUUUGGUUUACUCAUUAUUUGGAACAAUUUGGCGAAAUGAGGCAUUUUUGUCGCUGUGAAGCCCCCUCUUUAAUCGCUUCCUCGGACUCUUGUGGUUGCUCGGCUGAUAUUGACCCGAGGAAGCUCUGUCGGCGCUGAGGACUGCGCAAAGCCGCUCGUUCGGGACCUGAACAUAACACAGGGUGGAUGAGACAAGAGCUGCUCUUCGUCGCGCCGGAGCGCGAGCGGCCAGAAGCUCCCACACGCGUGUGCUCUGCAGCUCUCCGGGUCUGGCUCCGGCAGCUCCUGCUCCUGGUAAUGGCCACUCGUAAACCUCUUGAAAGCAAAGUUUAUAAAGACUUUAGAAACUUUUGUUGGAUACGCUGGGCUGGAGCCCAGGACUGUGUUUGCAAACAGCGCGUUUGACUUUUCGAUGCUGCUGAUGUGGCUUCACUCCUGGGGGAGGAGGAGUGGUUAUAGAAGCGUGAAGGUGCUUUAUUCCGAUUUCCCCUCCUUCCUCCCCCCCUUUCCUGUGCAGAAAUCGCUGAGAGCUGUUCGUGCUGAGAACUGUCUUCGUUAGAAGGUGUAUUGAUAAAACCGUUCUCCUCGGGGGUAAAAAAGUUGUGUGAUACAGAACACCGUCCCCUCUGCAGUGGGAGUAGUCAGAGCUGCGUAAAACUUUUUCAGCUCGGAGUGGUGGUCACUGGAUGUGUUUUAAUUUAAGCUCUUUGCAUUUUAUUAUAGGAAUAAAACCCCCUUCCGUUUCA